This is a long non-coding RNA of Oreochromis niloticus (Nile tilapia), 481 nucleotides long. RefSeq lists it as uncharacterized. NCBI's taxonomy places the organism in Eukaryota, Metazoa, Chordata, Actinopteri, Cichliformes, Cichlidae. The record is from RefSeq and is a predicted model, not a curated record. The transcript is spliced from 4 exons.
AUUUGAUUGGGCAUCACUGUGUUGCUAUGGCAUGAUCCUGGUAGUUAUUGUUAUUAAAACAAUAAGAAUAACAAAUUCAAAUUCAAACAUUGCUGCAUUCUUCUGUCACUGACAAUUCCAAACCUGCACUCAGUCUCCUCAUUACACUGGUACUGAACAGACACAACAUUGGAGUCUUUGCAAACUUUGUUCAAAAACUACAACUAUUUGACACAAAACUGCGACAGCAAGCACAGAAACUUAAAACAAGUCACUGAAAGAAACCAAAUCCUGCGUGGAUCUUUGUCCUGACAGACGCCUAAAAUGGCUCAAGCUGUGGGAAAACCAAAUCUUAAGAGGUUCAACUCACAUGUCAGCAGUGACAGCAAGUACUGCUUCCAGGAUGUGGGGAUCUUACCGCCUCCUAAAUGUUUUAGGCUGAUGACGUGUGAUCUUCCCCUGCCUCCAAGUCCUCUAUCAUCCCCUGUGAAUGAUGAAAACA